Molecule: long non-coding RNA, 331 nt
Filed under: Marmota monax (woodchuck)
Lineage: Eukaryota; Metazoa; Chordata; Mammalia; Rodentia; Sciuridae
Source: RNAcentral
UUCAGAACUUGUGUUUUUUAUACCUUGGUCUAGAAAUAGGGCGAUUAAUUCUGGGCUUCCCUUAGCACCCCUGUGGAGGGUACUGUGUCAGCGGUACCUGAUCCCUACUUAUGACUCAGAAGCUAUUGCUCAGGGAGACCCUUUUCCUCCCUCCUGUUUUAGACAAUGACUCAGGAGGAAAGGCUCUGUGGCCACAUCAUUCCCCUACACACACACACCCUGCCUUCCCGAGGGGCACCAUUAUAUUCUUCCUUUAUUAGCUGUCCUUGUAUAAUACAAAUCUGCAAGUUUAGAUACAAAAAAAAUCUGGAAAUAAAAGAUAGAAAAGUAC